AACGAACGCUGGCGGCAGGCCUAACACAUGCAAGUCGAGCGCGCCCUUCGGGGUGAGCGGCGGACGGGUGAGUAACGCGUGGGAACGUGCCCUUUUCUACGGAAUAGCCUCGGGAAACUGAGAGUAAUACCGGAUACGCCCUUUGGGGGAAAGAUUUAUCGGAAAAGGAUCGGCCCGCGUUGGAUUAGGUAGUUGGUGGGGUAAUGGCCUACCAAGCCGACGAUCCAUAGCUGGUUUGAGAGGAUGAUCAGCCACACUGGGACUGAGACACGGCCCAGACUCCUACGGGAGGCAGCAGUGGGGAAUCUUGGACAAUGGGGGCAAGCCUGAUCUAGCCAUGCCGCGUGAGUGAUGAAGGCCUUAGGGUUGUAAAGCUCUUUAAGCUGGGAAGAUAAUGACGGUACCAGCAGAAGAAGCCCCGGCUAACUCCGUG
Molecule: ribosomal RNA, 433 nt
Filed under: uncultured bacterium
Lineage: Bacteria
Description: partial 16S ribosomal RNA
Rfam family: Bacterial small subunit ribosomal RNA
Source: RNAcentral